AGAGAUGCAUUGGGUUUAAAGCGUGCGCAGGCGGUUUUGUAAGACAGAGGUGAAAUCCCCGGGCUCAACCUGGGAACUGCCUUUGUGACUGCAAGGCUGGAGUGCGGCAGAGGGGGAUGGAAUUCCGCGUGUAGCAGUGAAAUGCGUAGAUAUGCGGAGGAACACCGAUGGCGAAGGCAAUCCCCUGGGCUUGCACUGACGCUCAUGCACGAAAGCGUGGGGAGCAAACA
RNAcentral lists this ribosomal RNA (230 nucleotides) under uncultured Alicycliphilus sp. RNAcentral describes it as "partial 16S ribosomal RNA". It matches the Rfam family "Bacterial small subunit ribosomal RNA", at positions 548 to 774 of the family's 1533-position model. Lineage: Bacteria; Pseudomonadati; Pseudomonadota; Betaproteobacteria; Burkholderiales; Comamonadaceae. The record is from RNAcentral.